RNAcentral lists this ribosomal RNA (520 nucleotides) under uncultured Glomus. Its description in RNAcentral is "SSU rRNA". It matches the Rfam family "Eukaryotic small subunit ribosomal RNA", at positions 569 to 1094 of the family's 1831-position model. Lineage: Eukaryota; Fungi; Glomeromycota; Glomeromycetes; Glomerales; Glomeraceae. The record is from RNAcentral.
AGCAGCCGCGGUAAUUCCAGCUCCAAUAGCGUAUAUUAAAGUUGUUGCAGUUAAAAAGCUCGUAGUUGAAUUUCGGGAUUAGUACGUUGGUCGUGCCUUCGGUACGUACUGGUGUUACUGAUUCCUACCUUCUGACGAACCAUCAUGUCAUUAAUUUGGUGUGGCGGGGAAUCAGGACUGUUACUUUGAAAAAAUUAGAGUGUUUAAAGCAGGCUCGCGCUUGAAUACAUUAGCAUGGAAUAAUGAAAUAGGACGUUGACCCUAUUUUGUUGGUUUCUAGGAUUGACGUAAUGAUUAAUAGGGAUAGUUGGGGGCAUUAGUAUUCAAUUGUCAGAGGUGAAAUUCUUGGAUUUAUUGAAGACUAACUACUGCGAAAGCAUUUGCCAAGGAUGUUUUCAUUAAUCAAGAACGAAAGUUAGGGAUCGAAGACGAUCAGAUACCGUCGUAGUCUUAACCAUAAACUAUGCCGACUAGGGAUCGGAUGAUGUUAUUUUUAUGUACUCAUUCGGCGCCUUACGGG